CUGUGUGUUUACCUGUGUGUUUACCUGUGUGUUUACCUGUGUGUACCGAGACGUCCUGUUAUCGCCGAGAGGAUAUCCUGUUCCACGGUCAACACGCAGGCUCGCUUCUCCACACACAAAGAGACGCUCACCAUGGCGCAGAUCGGUGUGAUUGUCGCUGCCUUGCUCGCUCUGGGUACUGGGGGGGCCCUCAACCCCGCUGCGACCCAAAGCUGUGGCGGCCCUGAUCAAGUAGUGAGGUACUCGGAGGACAAAGUGAUGUUUUCCAGUGCAGAAGGAUACAAUCUGUCCACCGCGGGGUACGUUCAACCGGGAAGUGAUUUUAAAGGCAUCAGCGUUAAAGUACCUCAAAGGAAAGCUCAACACGUAGCUUGGUUCCCUGCUGACCCUUGCUUACCUGGCACAGGAGCGAAGUGGGCGUACGUGAGAGUGACGGUUACGCGCCUGCAAUAUAAGGUUUCAAAAAUCUGCUUCGUUCGCUUCCACCUGGUCACGGACUAUUGCCAAAGGAUAUGUGAUCGUUAUAAUAAAGUCUCAUGUGGGAGGUCCCUCGGAGGUCUGAGUGUUGUGGCGCGUGGGCCCUCGAACUGGAAAAGCGACAAUCCAGGAAGAAUGUGUCUUGUACGAGUGGGGUGGAAGCCGCCGCUCCCUCCUGUGGAUAUCUGCGAGAGCCCUCCAUUCAGGCCACCUUCAGGCACUCCCCCAUCUACAACCACCACCCCAACCACUAUGAAAUCGACAUCAACAUCCACAGAUCCCUUCCCGUCCUCUGCGUCAUCUGCGUCUGGGUCUGCGUCUUCGUUGCUGCUGAUAGUGGUGGUGGUGGUUGCGGUGGUGUUAUUAUAGUGGUGGUGGUGGUGUUAUUAUGGUGGUGGUGGUGGUGGUGGUGGUCUGCGGCAUACGACGACGAAGACGCAGAUCAUCGGCAUCGCGCACGGGGGUCCAGUAUCAUCACCAACUUGAAACACCCACACCUACACAAGACCAUGUCAACGAGAACAACCUGUAUGACCCUCUCCCUGGACCUGUAAACCCCACCAGACCCAGGGAUGACCAGCAACAAGUAUACGGCGUGGAGGACAACUUGUAUGAACCUCUCCCUGUACCUGUAAACCCCACCAGACCCAGGGAUGACCAGCGACAAGUAUACGGCGUGGAGAGCAACCUGUAUGAAGCUCUCCCUGGACCUGUCAACCCUGGUGCUACAAGGGAACGGGAAGGGACGGUUGUAGUGGAGAGCGAUCUAUAUGGACCACUCAGUGUCCCUCUUACCAGCACCACCAGAGGGUAUAACUAUAGAUGAAGAAAUUGAUUUGUAUAAUAAAGAUUCCUAUAACAUAACACCAAGGGACGGCAGGCGUGGAAAACGGUCUCUAUGAAUCACUCACUGUCUCUAUGAAGGUGUUAGUACAUAAAGAAGGGUGAGUGAACAUGCUCUUCAGAUACUUAUUUAUAAACAACACUUUGGUUGGUACAUGUAUCUAAACUGUUCUACAUAUGACUAUAGAUAUAAGCUUAGGACUUUGUGUGACUAGACAUGUUGUGGGCGUGAAUACCAUAGCUACAUGCAAGAAGAGGUUAGAUAAAGUCAUGGAUAGUGAGGUAAGGCGGGGUUAGGAUUACAGGAGCUGCCUUGUAUAACCCAACCGGUCUCUUGCACUCCUCAACUCCUUACGUUCUUAUGUCUGUGUGACUUGAUCAUUCCUCUGCUGAAGUACAGGAUGUGUUUCUGCUUUAUAAAAUUACAUACUGAUUCUGCACUGUGAUGAUCUCUUGUAUGAUAACCACUAUCUUGGUAAUAAAGCAGGAAGGAGAAAGA
Molecule: long non-coding RNA, 1819 nt
Organism: Eriocheir sinensis (Chinese mitten crab)
Lineage: Eukaryota; Metazoa; Arthropoda; Malacostraca; Decapoda; Varunidae
Exons: 2
Source: RefSeq, a predicted model, not a curated record